UACGAAGGGUGCUAGCGUUGCUCGGAUUUACUGGGCGUAAAGCGUGCGUAGGUGGCUUUACAAGUCAGGGGUGAAAUCCCACAGCUCAACUGUGGAAUUGCCUUUGAAACUGUAAAGCUGGAGUAUCGGAGGGGAUAGCGGAAUUCCUAAUGUAGAGGUGAAAUUCGUAGAUAUUAGGAGGAACACCGGUGGCGAAGGCGGCUAUCUGGACGAUUACUGACACUCUGGCACGAAAGCGCGGGGAUCAAACAGG
This 253-nucleotide ribosomal RNA is filed under the name uncultured bacterium. Its description in RNAcentral is "partial 16S ribosomal RNA". It matches the Rfam family "Bacterial small subunit ribosomal RNA", at positions 524 to 776 of the family's 1533-position model. The record is from RNAcentral.